This is a long non-coding RNA of Rhipicephalus microplus (southern cattle tick), 258 nucleotides long. The record is from RefSeq and is a predicted model, not a curated record. NCBI's taxonomy places the organism in Eukaryota, Metazoa, Arthropoda, Arachnida, Ixodida, Ixodidae.
GUCAACUGUGCGGAUGGCUUCAGGCGUGUUCGUUUUACCUCCAGCUUUAAAAGCUUCAAACUUAUGAGGGACGGGAGGGUGCUCAGAAGUAAUAAAAACUGUGUUCCGCUGCGAAUGGCGCAACAGAGAGCAUCUGGGAACCUAAACGGACAAAAAUGCUGCAGCAAUCAUAAUGGGGUCUCUACAAUUCACUGACGUAAAGAACACGAACUAAGAAUUGGAAAGCAAGGCAUAAUAAAUGGUGAAAUUUCAAGUAUU